This 406-nucleotide ribosomal RNA is filed under the name uncultured bacterium. RNAcentral's name for it is "partial 16S ribosomal RNA". It matches the Rfam family "Bacterial small subunit ribosomal RNA", at positions 29 to 526 of the family's 1533-position model. The record is from RNAcentral.
AUUGAACGCUGGCGGCAGGCCUAACACAUGCAAGUCGAGCGAGCGGCGGAGGGGUGAGUAAUGUGUGAGACUCUGCCAGAUAGGGGGGGAACACUAGUGAAAGCGGUGGCUAAUCGCGCAUACUCUCGGAUGCACACAUAGGGGAUUAGCGAGUAGGUGGGGUAAAGGCUCACCUAGGAGAAGAUCCCUAGCUGGUCUGAGAGGAUGAUCAGCCACACUGGGACUGAGACACGGUCCAGACUCCUACGGGAGGCAGCAGUGGGGAAUAUUGCACAAUGGGCGCAAGCCUGAUGCAGCGAUGCCGCGUGUAUGAAGAAGGCCUUCGGGUUGUAAAGUACUUUCAGCGAGGAGGCGUUACCCGCAGAAGAAGCACCGGCUAACUCCGUGCCAGCAGCCGCGGUAAUUC